This 253-nucleotide ribosomal RNA is filed under the name uncultured bacterium. RNAcentral's name for it is "partial 16S ribosomal RNA". It matches the Rfam family "Bacterial small subunit ribosomal RNA", at positions 524 to 776 of the family's 1533-position model. The record is from RNAcentral.
UACGGGGGGGGCAAGCGUUGUUCGGAAUCACUGGGCGUAAAGGGCGCGUAGGCGGCCGAUCAAGUCGGGGGUGAAAGCCUGUGGCUUAACCACAGAAUGGCCUUCGAUACUGUUUGGCUUGAGACCGGAAGAGGUUAGUGGAACUGCGAGUGUAGAGGUGAAAUUCGUAGAUAUUCGCAAGAACACCAGUGGCGAAGGCGGCUGACUGGUCCGGUUCUGACGCUGAGGCGCGAAAGCGUGGGGAGCAAACAGG